GAUGAACGCUGGCGGCGUGCCUAAUACAUGCAAGUCGAGCGAACGGACGAGGAGCUUGCUUUUCUGAUGUUAGCGGCGGACGGGUGAGUAACACGUGGAUAACCUACCUAUAAGACUGGGAUAACUUCGGGAAACCGGAGCUAAUACCGGAUAAUAUUUUGAACCGCAUGGUUCAAAAGUGAAAGACGGUCUUGCUGUCACUUAUCGAUGGAUCCGCGCUGCAUUAGCUAGUUGGUAAGGUAACGGCUUACCAAGGCAACGAUGCAUAGCCGACCUGAGAGGGUGAUCGGCCACACGGGAACUGAGACACGGUCCAGACUCCUACGGGAGGCAGCAGUAGGGAAUCUUCCGCAAUGGGCGAAAGCCUGACGGAGCAACGCCGCGUGAGUGAUGAAGGUCUUCGGAUCGUAAAACUCUGUUAUUAGGUAAGAACAUAUGUGUAAGUAACUGUGCACAUCUUGACGGUACCUAAUCAGAAAGCCACGGCUAACUACGUG
This 497-nucleotide ribosomal RNA is filed under the name uncultured bacterium. Its description in RNAcentral is "partial 16S ribosomal RNA". It matches the Rfam family "Bacterial small subunit ribosomal RNA", at positions 28 to 507 of the family's 1533-position model. The record is from RNAcentral.